This 339-nucleotide ribosomal RNA is filed under the name uncultured bacterium. RNAcentral's name for it is "bacterial SSU rRNA". It matches the Rfam family "Bacterial small subunit ribosomal RNA", at positions 32 to 361 of the family's 1533-position model. The record is from RNAcentral.
AAUCAACGCUGGCGGCGUGCCUCAGACAUGCAAGUCGAACGAUUAAAGCUCUCUUCGGAGAGUGUAUAGAGUGGCGCACGGGUGAGUAACACGUAAGUAAUCUACCUUUGAGUGGGGAAUAACAGUCGGAAACGACUGCUAAUACCGCAUAAUGCAGCGGCAUCGCAAGAUGACAGUUGUUAAAGGAGCAAUCCGCUUAAAGAGGAGCUUGCGGCAGAUUAGCUUGUUGGUAAGGUAACGGCUUACCAAGGCUACGAUCUGUAUCCGGUCUAAGAGGACGGUCGGACACACUGACACUGAAUAACGGGUCAGACUCCUACGGGAGGCAGCAGUCGGGAA